UACGUAGGGUGCAGGCGUUAAUCGGAAUUACUGGGUGUAAAGCGUGCGCAGGCGGUCUUUUAAGUCAGAUGUGAAAUCCCCGGGCUUAACCUGGGAACUGCGUUUGAAACUGGAAGGCUAGAGUGUGGCAGAGGGGGGUGGAAUUCCACGUGUAGCAGUGAAAUGCGUAGAUAUGUGGAGGAACACCGAUGGCGAAGGCAGCCCCCUGGGCUAACACUGACGCUCAUGCACGAAAGCGUGGGGAGCAAACAGG
Molecule: ribosomal RNA, 253 nt
Filed under: uncultured bacterium
Lineage: Bacteria
Description: partial 16S ribosomal RNA
Rfam family: Bacterial small subunit ribosomal RNA
Source: RNAcentral